Molecule: ribosomal RNA, 253 nt
Filed under: uncultured bacterium
Lineage: Bacteria
Description: partial 16S ribosomal RNA
Rfam family: Bacterial small subunit ribosomal RNA
Source: RNAcentral
UACGUAGGUGGCAAGCGUUGUCCGGAAUUACUGGGUGUAAAGCGCGUGUAGGCGGCAGACCAAGUCGGCGGUGAAAGCGCCCGGCUCAACUGGGCGAGGUCCGUGGAAACUGGUCAGCUGGAGGACGGUAGAGGCGAGUGGAAUUCCCGGUGUAGUGGUGAAAUGCGUAGAUAUUGGGUGGAACACCGGUGGCGAAAGCGGCUCUCUGGUCCGGACCUGACGCUGAGGCGCGAAAGCGUGGGGAGCAAACAGG